RNAcentral lists this unclassified non-coding RNA (21 nucleotides) under Mus musculus (house mouse). RNAcentral describes it as "oocyte_clustered_small_RNA5277". Lineage: Eukaryota; Metazoa; Chordata; Mammalia; Rodentia; Muridae. The record is from RNAcentral.
GUCACGGGACGCAAGAGGCCA